CCAGCAACUUGGGGGAAUGUAUUUCGACUAUGUCGUAUAAAGUUCUAGAUAGAUUGAUGAUAAUGACAAUUUUCUAUCUAUAUGUCUUGACCAAAUCUUGUGCCAGCAGUCGCGGCAAGACAAGAGAGACUAGUGUUAUUCAUCUUUAUUAGGUUUAAAGGGUACCUAGACUGUAAAUUUAGCCCCUAAAGGGUACGUAUUUACUAGAGUUAUUUGUGAGAGGAAUAUAGCAGAACUAUUAGUGUAAAGAUGAAAUUUUUUGAUACUAAUAUAACGGGUAACGGCGAAGGCAACCCUCUAUGUGAUAACUGACGUUGAGGGACGAAGGCUCAGGGAGCGAAGAGGAUUAGAUACCCCCGUAGUCUGGGCAGACAAUGAUGAGUGUCAUAGAUUUAAGGCCAACUAGUGAAACUAAAUUGCUUUUUUUUGCUAGUUGGUGGGGUCUAUAAAUGAAAGUGUAAGCACUCCACCUCAAGAGUAAUGUGGCAACGCAGGAACUGAAAUCAUUAGACCGUUUCUGAAACCAGUAGUGAAGUAUGUUAUUUAAUUCGAUGAUCCUCGAAAAACCUUACCAUAAUUUGUAUGUCAAUCUUAUAUUGAUACAAGCGUUGCAUGGCUGUCUUCAGUUAAUGUCGUGAGAUUUGGUUAGUUCCAUUAAAUUAACGUAAACCCUUGCUUUUUUUAGAUUUAUAAAGCAGUUCACCGCGAUAAUUGGAUGUGAUAACAGGGACUAAGACAAGUC
Molecule: ribosomal RNA, 742 nt
Filed under: Neuropogon sphacelatus
Lineage: Eukaryota; Fungi; Ascomycota; Lecanoromycetes; Lecanorales; Parmeliaceae
Description: mitochondrial SSU rRNA
Rfam family: Bacterial small subunit ribosomal RNA
Source: RNAcentral